GACGAACGCUGGCGGCGUGCUUAACACAUGCAAGUCGAGCGGGCGGAGGACUUCGGUCCAAAGCUAGCGGCGGACGGGUGAGUAACGCGUGAACAAUCUGUCCCAGACAGGGGGAUAACAACCUGAAAAGGUUGCUAAUACCGCAUAAGACCGCGUUCUCGCAUGGGAAUGAGGUAAAAGGAGGAAUCCGGUUUGGGGUGAGUUCGCGUCUGAUUAGCUAGUUGGUGAGGUAACGGCCCACCAAGGCGACGAUCAGUAGCCGAUCUGAGAGGGUGACCGGCCACAUUGGGACUGAGACACGGCCCAA
This 307-nucleotide ribosomal RNA is filed under the name uncultured bacterium. RNAcentral describes it as "bacterial SSU rRNA". It matches the Rfam family "Bacterial small subunit ribosomal RNA", at positions 28 to 334 of the family's 1533-position model. The record is from RNAcentral.